GACGAACGCUGGCGGCGUGCUUAACACAUGCAAGUCGAACGGGUCUGCCCUGUUUUUUGCGGGGUGGGUCAGUGGCGAACGGGUGAGUAACACGUGAGUAACCUGCCCCUCACUUCUGGAUAACCGCUUGAAAGGGUGGCUAAUACGGGGUGUUCUGGCUGUGCCGCAUGGUGUGGCUGGGAAAGAUUCACUUUUGUGGUGUUUUGGUGGGGGAUGGGCUCGCGGCCUAUCAGCUUGUUGGUGGGGUGAUGGCCUGCCAAGGCUUUGACGGGUAGCCGGCCUGAGAGGGUGGGCGGUCACACUGGGACGGAGAUACGGCCCAGACUCCUGCGGGAGGCAGCAGUGGGGGGUAUUGCACAAUGGGCGGAAGCCUGAUGCAGCGACGUCGCGUGAGGGAUGGAGGCCUUCGGGUUGUGAACCUCUUUCGCCGGUGAAGAAGGUCCUGCUCUUUGGGGUGGGGUUGACGGUAGCCGGGUUAUGAAGCGCCGGCUAACUACGUG
This 500-nucleotide ribosomal RNA is filed under the name uncultured bacterium. Its description in RNAcentral is "partial 16S ribosomal RNA". It matches the Rfam family "Bacterial small subunit ribosomal RNA", at positions 28 to 507 of the family's 1533-position model. The record is from RNAcentral.